Molecule: long non-coding RNA, 4565 nt
Filed under: Olea europaea subsp. europaea
Lineage: Eukaryota; Viridiplantae; Streptophyta; Magnoliopsida; Lamiales; Oleaceae
Source: RNAcentral
AUCCAUUUGAUAUUAUCCAUUAGCUUCCUCGGUUCAUUGGUUGAGUCAGUUCGACGGUUCCAUUGGCUUUCUCCUCCACAAGGACCACAACCACGAGUGACGAGUCGCCGUUGAGGCUAUGAGUCUGUGACCCACUGACCGUGGUCCGUGAGGCAUGACUUGUGACGUAAAUCAGGUGAUUUUCUUGGGCUUUUAGAAUUUCAGAAUCUUGGAUUUUUCUUUGUGGUGGGCCGAUGGUUGUUAAUGCUUUUUAGAAGUUUGAUUUUGGAACCAUGAAACUGAUUAAAGAUUGGAGAAGGCAAGAAGUUGACUAAAAUUUUCACUCUUCAUUUAAUUUUUAUUAUCGCUAUGGAAAGUGGAAAAACACCUUUUUUGGGAUUUGAAGUUUUGAUGAUUUCUAGUUUCUAGAGUAAGUUUACAGUGGCCUUUGCAGUUUGCCCUUGUGUGACUUUGUCUCAUUGUUCCCUCUUUGGUAUGAUUAGGGUUUUUCAUAUUUGAGUGAGUAAUUUAUAAUUAUGUAAUUGUAAUCUAAAGAAGUAAAGAAGAUGCUAAAUAAGAGUUUUUUUUCCCACAUUUUGAUGGAGUUGCAACCUGCAAUAUGUAUGACAGAUGAAUGUAAACGGACAGUAUGAAUGUAAACGGACAGUACACUAGCACAUGAACCGUUUUUCAAAAAUGAUGAAUGCAGUGGAAUAAACAUUACGGCAGAUUAAAUUUACCUAUUGGAUUAGAACCAGGCUCGAUCUUGAGGCCAGGCGGAUGAUGCCUGUGCCUCAGGCCCAAAAUCCAAGGGGGCCUCAUAUUGUUGGCCCAAUUUUUUUUUUUUUUUUUUUUUUUUUAUUAUUAUUUGAACAAUGGUAACCCAGCUAAGAGUAGCCUAAAACUCUCAAGCUCAAGCCCGUAUCCUGAUCCAUUAUCCAUUUUUCCCAAAAUUCCCAAAUUGAAAUCCAUUCCAUUUUCUCUCUCGCUCGACUUCUCCUUAUUCCUCUUCCAGCUCCAGUUCCAGACUUUCGAGAUCCAGACUUCAACUCUUCUAGUCUUCUAGAGUUCCAGUUUCAGUUUUCAAGUUCCUCGCUUGGUUAGUUGGCUGCUUGGCUUCACAGUUCGCUGGAGCGAUGGAGGCACGGACCCUCGAGGCUUGAGUCCCACUGGUCAUUGUCUCAGACUCCCAGUGAGUUCAAACACCGAGUGGCCUCCUUCUGUCGAGAGGCUACUGGCUGGGGCCUGGGCAUUUUUGGUGUCAAACCAGUGAGCUCAAGUUCCAUUCCCUAAUGAGUUCAACUCUUUUAGUUUUUUACCAGUUACAUUUAGGUAUUUACUUAUUAUAAUUUUGAUGGCUUGAUUUUAAUUGAUAAAUAGUCCUUUUUAUUGUACAUGUGCUGUGGGGUAUACUGUAAUUGAGUUUCAGAGAAGUUCUUGGAAAGAGUUGACUGUUGGGAAGGGAAAAAGAUUAAAGGAAUGGAAUGGUUGACGAGGGUUGAGUGUUACUGUGUUAAAGUUCUUUGAAGAGGGUUUAUAGCAAAUUAAAAUGGGAGAGUAGUACUGCGUAAUUAAUGGCUGAGUGACGAGGGUUGAGUGUUACUGUGCUACUGUGUAAUUAUUGCAAAUUGAGUGUUACUGUGUUAAAUCCAAAUCUUGAAAUUGGCACACUAGAAGAUCUACUGAUCUAGUACUACUAGUAUUGGCUCUUGGCGACAAUGGACAUUAUCCCCUCGAUAAAUGCAUAGAAGAGUAAGCCAAAAAUGAUAAGGAUUGCCUACUUUAUUUGAUGGAAUGGAAUCCAUAUGCAAGUGAAAAGGAUUAGGGUAGUAGUGGAUAAAUGAGAUUGAGCAUAUAAACUGAUUAUUUUUUCCUCUCUAUAAACUGAUUAUUUUUUCCUCUCUAUCUCUUUGAACAAUUUGAGAUUAAAAAUUAGAGGUGGGCUAAAGUGAAUGUUUGAAUUUUGAUUCCUAAUGCUAUCUUUUAUCAUGUGUAAGUGUAAAAUAGUUUAUAGUUAAUUUGAAUAACUUAAUUUGAUAGAAUGACAGGCAAAUUGUGCAAUUGUUAUUUCCCUAAGUUUGAUGAUCAUGUUCAUAUUUGUAUUAGCGUUUGAUGUGAAAUUUUCGUUUCAGGGUCGUUAGUUGUGAGUUUUUUUAGUUGUGACAGUGGAAUUCUCGAAGGUGUAACUCCACAAUUUUCAUCGAAAUUCUACUUCUCAAGUAAGCAAUAUCUUGCCCUAACUUGUUAUUGAAGAGAUUGAAAAUGUUUAAAGCCUUGUCGGCUUAUAUAAUCGUAGCUUGGUCUGCUUAUAUGAUUGAUUGUUGGAGGAUCAACAAUUGCACAGACGCACAUAAUGACUAUAUUGUUGGUUUUGAUGGUUUAUAAUAUAAAUCUUGAGUAUUAUAACAACAAUGUUAUAACACGUGUUAUAACAACAAUGUUAUAACACAUGGGUUUUGAUGGUUUAUAACAUUGUUGGUUUUGAUGGUCUAUAAUAUAAAUCUUUUUUAUAAUAUAUUUGGUUUUUUUUUUUUAAUGUUAAUUUUUUAAGUUAGCAAUGAAUCGUAUAAUACAUCGUUGAAUUUCACAUUUACAUUGCUUUCGCUAAGGGGCCUAAUUUACAGACUUCGCCUCAAGUUCCGACAAUCACAGGAUCGAUCCUGAUUAGAACUACUCCUGUAUUCUCAAUUGCAGCAGAAAGCUCUAUGGAACGGGCAAUUGUAACACCAUCACUAAUCACUUUAAGUGUUUCUGUUUCUAAAAGAACUGCAUGCUUCAAAGUAACACCAAUAAACUUUUUUCCAGAAAUAAAACAAUAGUAGUGACAACUAUAAAAGUAAGAAUAUAAUUCAUUCUAUAUUUUAAAAUUUUGAAAUAAUUUUGACUAUCACUGGCUCUACUAUGUUUCCAAAGUCAGAUUUGCUUUCUCAAUAAAACAUACUUCAGUGCCUGACUUUAGACAUCCCCAAAAACCUCACAAUAGCACAUAACAAAGAUAUCAUUCUUCCAAAGGAUUUAUGAAAAAUAAAGGCAAAAGCAUGAUGUUGAUGUGUAGGAAAACAUUAGCCCUACGUUAUUCGGCUAAAAAAGGUUACAUCAAGCUUUAAGUGGGAGCCGAAAGGUGAAAGUGAAAUACCAUUUUAUGUACUUCUGUUUGAUGACCUUAUUUUUCUUAAGUUACAAUAUCAAUUAAAAGAGUGGACUAAAAGUUAAUUCUAAAUUUUAAUGCGGAGUUCUUCUUCAUUGUCAAGUGUCAACAGACUUAAUUCCACAGACACGUAGGAAAAGCAAAAGCUUCAAUACACCCUAGUAAGUAAAUGUCCCCAUCUCUAAAGUAGUGGGAGUGUUAGAGAACUUGAAAGCCAAUUACAAAUUCAGGCACAAAGGGUGGGGGCAUUAGAAGAAAAAUGUAAACAUUUAUCGGGUUUUUUGUGCAGGUUAUGAGUAGUAACUUUUUAUACAUUUCAUGAUUAUAUAGCUUUAUAUAGCCAAUUACAUGUAUAAUAACUUUUGUAAUUUUUGUAUCAUUAUACAGAAUGUGGUUUCCGUUUCCUAUAUUGUUAAAUGUUUAUCUAAUAUAUAUUCAGUUUGUAACAUUCUAAUUUUAAAAAGAAUACUUUCCGUUUAUUAUGAAUUUGUAGUCACACCAAGGAAGUGGUAACCAAGAAAGUACUACCCCCAAGACAUAUGCUAGAUGUCAAUUGUUGCAUUGGUACAUUUUUGAGGAGGAAGAAGUCAUAAUAGAAAGGAAGAUUGCCACAACAAACCCAAGUGUAAAGGUGCAUCACUUGCCACUUGGUCGAGACUGUUGGAAGGUUUGGGUUGAGAAAGUCUAUAUGGGUAAUUUGACUCUAUACAGACUCACGUAUGAAUUCCAUGGGAAUCACUUGGCCAAAGAGCAGCAUUAGACUUAUUGAUUAAGGUAUAUUUUUUGGAUUUAUAACAUAUAAGCGUCUUAUUUUCGUUUUCUUUCCAUUUCAAAUAGUAUUUAGUGUUGGUUGGUUGGUUGGUACGUAUGAAGUGGUUUCAUGUAAUUGGUUGGUUAGCUAGUGAGAUUUUGGCAGUGAGAAUUAAUAGGUUACUUGCUUAAUUCUUAGGUUUCAUUCAAUAAGUUUUUUGUUAUUGAAUGGUCGAAACAUGAUUUUAUGUUGAGGUUAGAAUUCUUGUAGUGGGUAAUUUGUUAAUGUGUUGGUAACAUGAUUUUGUGCUAAGCCUGAAAUGCCUUUGUGAUUGUCUUGAUUUAUCACAAUUAAGUAUAUCUUAAUAAAAAGGAGAAGUUUUUCUAUUUAAAAGUUUAUUUGUUAUUCAGUGGUUGUUGGCUAAAAACACCUCUACAGAACUCGUUGAUUGUAGGCUGAUCUUUUUCCAAAAACAAUUUUCUUUUUGAAGUGAGAUUAAUGCAAAGCUCAUUGGACAGAAAUUGUUCCAGUGGCUAUGGUAUUGGUCAAGUAACAUGCGACGAUGUCAAGUUUAAGUUUCAAUUUUUGUAGUUUCCUAAUUACAUUUUGGUAGUACAUGUUUGGAGACUCUUAUUUUUAUUUUGGAAAACAUUAUGUGUUGAAUAUUUUACAAAUUUAAUGAGUACA